AUGUAUGUAUGCACAUGUAUAUUCUAUAAAUUAAAAACCAUAUUGCAGUUUAUGACUUGCAUUGAUUUAGUGACGCAUCCGUAAGUCCCCAAGUCCAGCGCCGCAACUCCGGAUCCAACAAGAUAAUCAUGGAGCGUAUUCCACAUUCCCAAAUUAAAGAGCAUUAUUAUUAACCUUUAACAUUUUCACGCUCGAAAGUUAUGAGAAGCAAAAUCAACAAAUUAUUCAGAAAGUCGGCUGGAAAAGGGAAUGCGGAUAGCUAAGGAAUGUUGCUGUACAGUGAGGCGUGACUAAUCAGGCAACGAAACUUUUGCCGGCUGCUAAUUGCCGUGAAGGCGCCGCAACUGUCCAUAGAUAUACAUAUAUGUACAUACAUAUACUUUAUAUGCAUAUAUGUAUGUAUGUAUGUAUAUGUAUGUACAUAGCUGCGCAUAUAGAAUGUGUGAGUCAUUAAGGCUUGCGGCAAUGCAAAUUGCUGCAACAAGUGCAGCAGGAUUUUUAGCUCUCUUUCUCCGCAGCUUAAUUAUCAUAGCGCACAGCUUCCAGCACCCGCUCCCAACUCCGACUCCGACUCUGUGUGUACAACCAAUCAGCGUAUGCAAGGCGCUAAAUGAGCAGCGAGUGGAGUGGAGUUGCCUUGCCAAGUGUCACCAGCAGCUUGAGGGGGGCAGCGGGCGGCCGCAAGGAGGCGGCUAAAGUGUUGCGCUAAUUUUAUAUGCAAAUUAUGGCAAAAGCGCGGCUUGUAUGCUAAUUUCGACUCGACUCGGACUGCGAAUCAGACGCAGACGCAGUCUCAGUCUGAGUCCCAAGCUCCGUCUCAGUCUCAACUGCUGCGGCCCUGCCUCUGCACUUAACACUCUUUUUUAAUGAUGUAUGGUCUGCAUGCAUAUGCCAAAUAUUUGGAGAAUGCAGC
Long non-coding RNA from Drosophila navojoa, 913 nucleotides. RefSeq lists it as uncharacterized. The record is from RefSeq and is a predicted model, not a curated record. Lineage: Eukaryota; Metazoa; Arthropoda; Insecta; Diptera; Drosophilidae.